CGUGUAGGCGGCCAGGUAGGUCUGCUGUGAAAACUCGAGGCUUAACCUCGAGAUGUCGGCGGAAACCAUCUGGCUAGAGUCCGGAAGAGGAGAGUGGAAUUCCUGGUGUAGCGGUGAAAUGCGCAGAUAUCAGGAAGAACACCCGUGGCGAAGGCGGCUCUCUGGGACGGUACUGACGCUGAGACGCGAAAGCGUGGGGAGCGAACA
Molecule: ribosomal RNA, 207 nt
Filed under: uncultured bacterium
Lineage: Bacteria
Description: partial 16S ribosomal RNA
Rfam family: Bacterial small subunit ribosomal RNA
Source: RNAcentral